Molecule: ribosomal RNA, 497 nt
Filed under: uncultured soil bacterium
Lineage: Bacteria
Description: bacterial SSU rRNA
Rfam family: Bacterial small subunit ribosomal RNA
Source: RNAcentral
AGAUUGAACGCUGGCGGCAGGCCUAACACAUGCAAGUCGAGCGGUAGAGAGGUGCUUGCACCUCUUGAGAGCGGCGGACGGGUGAGUAAUGCCUAGGAAUCUGCCUAGUGGUGGGGGAUAACGUUCGGAAACGGACGCUAAUACCGCAUACGUCCUACGGGAGAAAGCGGGGGACCUUCGGGCCUCGCGCCAUUAGAUGAGCCUAGGUCGGAUUAGCUAGUUGGUGAGGUAAUGGCUCACCAAGGCGACGAUCCGUAACUGGUCUGAGAGGAUGAUCAGUCACACUGGAACUGAGACACGGUCCAGACUCCUACGGGAGGCAGCAGUGGGAAUAUUGGACAAUGGGCGAAAGCCUGAUCCAGCCAUGCCGCGUGUGUGAAGAAGGUCUUCGGAUUGUAAAGCAACGUUUUAAGUGGGAGGAAGGGUUUGUAACUUAAUACGUUGCAACUUUGACGUUACCGAUAGAAUAAGCACGGCUAACUUCGAGCCAGCAGCCG